Molecule: unclassified non-coding RNA, 343 nt
Filed under: Dracocephalum microflorum
Lineage: Eukaryota; Viridiplantae; Streptophyta; Magnoliopsida; Lamiales; Lamiaceae
Description: partial external transcribed spacer
Source: RNAcentral
GGAGACCGAACCAACGGUCGUUCGCACGAAGCGUAGAACGCUUUUUUUGUGGUGCUCCGAGGCCGAGGCCCCGUACCCACAUGAUGUUCCGUACUCGAGAGACCGAGCGACCCGUCGUGGUUCGUCGGCCCGRACGMCGUUUCACGGGCGAACGGGGCGCGAGACACGACGUGCGCUGUUUGGCCCACCCCGCACCGCAGGCCCUUUUGGGAGCAGCGGCACGGGACGGGAGUGGGACGAUGGAAACMGAUAGAAUGCCCUAGCGAUAGGUAUGCAGCACAGGAAAACCGACGUCGGACGAGCACUUACUCGMGCCAACAACUGAAGAGACGCGGACGGGAUG